Molecule: ribosomal RNA, 465 nt
Filed under: uncultured bacterium
Lineage: Bacteria
Description: partial 16S ribosomal RNA
Rfam family: Bacterial small subunit ribosomal RNA
Source: RNAcentral
CCUACGGGAGGCAGCAGUAGGGAAUCUUCCACAAUGGGCGAAAGCCUGAUGGAGCAACGCCGCGUGGGUGAAGAAGGUCUUCGGAUCGUAAAACCCUGUUGUUAGAGAAGAAAGUGCGUGAGAGUAACUGUUCACGUUUCGACGGUAUCUAACCAGACAGCCACGGCUAACUACGUGCCAGCAGCCGCGGUAAUACGUAGGGGGCAAACGUUAUCCGGAUUUAUUGGGCGUAAAGGGAACGCAGGCGGUCUUUUAAGUCUGAUGGGAAAGCCUUCGGCUUAACCGGAGUAGUGCAUUGGAAACUGGGAGACUUGCGUGCAGAAGAGGAGAGUGGAACGCCAUGUGUAGCGGUGAAAUGCGUAGAUAUAUGGAAGAACACCAGUUGCGAAAGCGGCUCUCUGGUCUGUAACUGACGCUGAGGUUCGAAAGCGUGGGUAGCAAACAGGAUUAGAUACCCGGGUAGUC